This 67-nucleotide transfer RNA is filed under the name Geoscapheus dilatatus. RNAcentral describes it as "tRNA-Asn". Lineage: Eukaryota; Metazoa; Arthropoda; Insecta; Blattodea; Blaberidae. The record is from RNAcentral.
UUAGCUGAAACCAAAAAGAGGUAUAUUACUGUUAAUAAUAAAACUGAAUAUUUAUAUUCCAGUUAAG